CGGCCCCUGGACAAGACUGACGCUCAGGUGCGAAAGCGUGGGGAGCAAACAGGAUUAGAUACCUGGUAGUCACGCUGUAAACGAUGUCGAUUUGGAGGUUGUUCCCUUGAGGAGUGGCUUCCGGAGCUAACGCGUUAAAUCGACCGCCUGGGGAGUACGGCCGCAAGGUUAAAACUCAAAUGAAUUGACGGGGGCCCGCACAAGCGGUGGAGCAUGUGGUUUAAUUCGAUGCAACGCGAAGAACCUUACCUACUCUUGACAUCCAGAGAAUUUAGCAGAGAUGCUUUAGUGCCUUCGGGAACUCUGAGACAGGUGCUGCAUGGCUGUCGUCAGCUCGUGUUGUGAAAUGUUGGGUUAAGUCCCGCAACGAGCGCAACCCUUAUCCUUUGUUGCCAGCACGUUAUGGUGGGAACUCAAAGGAGACUGCCGGUGAUAAACCGGAGGAAGGUGGGGACGACGUCAAGUCAUCAUGGCCCUUACGAGUAGGGCUACACACGUGCUACAAUGGCGUAUACAAAGAGAAGCGACCUCGCGAGAGCAAGCGGAACUCAUAAAGUACGUCGUAGUCCGGAUUGGAGUCUGCAACUCGACUCCAUGAAGUCGGAAUCGCUAGUAAUCGUAGAUCAGAAUGCUACGGUGAAUACGUUCCCGGGCCUUGUACACACCGCCCGUCACACCAUGGGAGUGGGUUGCAAAAGAAGUAGGUAGCUUAACCUUCGGGAGGGCGCUUACCACUUUGUGAUUCAUGACUGGGGUGAAGUCGUAACAAGGUAACCA
Molecule: ribosomal RNA, 777 nt
Filed under: uncultured Providencia sp.
Lineage: Bacteria; Pseudomonadati; Pseudomonadota; Gammaproteobacteria; Enterobacterales; Morganellaceae
Description: bacterial SSU rRNA
Rfam family: Bacterial small subunit ribosomal RNA
Source: RNAcentral